GACGAACGCUGGCGGCGUGCUUAACACAUGCAAGUCGAACGAGAGCGUAGAGAAAGCUUGCUUUUUCUACAAUCUAGUGGCAAACGGGUGAGUAACGCGUAAACAACCUGCCCUACGGAUGGGGACAACAGCUGGAAACGGCUGCUAAUACCGAAUACGUUCCGAAAGUCGCAUGACUAUCGGAAGAAAGGAUGGCCUCUAUUUAUAAGCUAUCGCCGGAGGAGGGGUUUGCGUCUGAUUAGCUAGUUGGAGGGGUAACGGCCCACCAAGGCGACGAUCAGUAGCCGGUCUGAGAGGAUGAACGGCCACAUUGGAACUGAGACACGGUCCAGACUCCUACGGGAGGCAGCAGUGGGGAAUCUUCCGCAAUGGGCGAAAGCCUGACGGAGCAACGCCGCGUGAGUGAAGACGGCCUUCGGGUUGUAAAGCUCUGUUAUACGGGACGAAUAAUCUUGUGGUUAAUACCCAUGAGAAGUGACGGCACCGUAAGAGAAAGCCACGGCUAACUACGUG
RNAcentral lists this ribosomal RNA (513 nucleotides) under uncultured bacterium. RNAcentral describes it as "partial 16S ribosomal RNA". It matches the Rfam family "Bacterial small subunit ribosomal RNA", at positions 28 to 507 of the family's 1533-position model. The record is from RNAcentral.